Molecule: unclassified non-coding RNA, 197 nt
Filed under: plant metagenome
Description: partial contains small subunit ribosomal RNA, internal transcribed spacer 1, and 5.8S ribosomal RNA
Source: RNAcentral
UCUCCAUUGGUGAACCAGCGGAGGGAUCAUUACCGAGUGCAAACUCAUAACCCUUUGUGAACCUAUAUCUGUUGCUUCGGCGGCUCGCUCUCGGGCGAGCCCGCCGGUAAUAUCAGUAUCUCUGUUUGAACCCGACGAUACUUCUGAGUGUUCUUAGCGAACAGUUAAAACUUUUAACAACGGAUCUCUUGGCUCUA